This 493-nucleotide ribosomal RNA is filed under the name uncultured bacterium. RNAcentral's name for it is "partial 16S ribosomal RNA". It matches the Rfam family "Bacterial small subunit ribosomal RNA", at positions 27 to 507 of the family's 1533-position model. The record is from RNAcentral.
GAGUGAACGCUGGCGGUAGGCCUAACACAUGCAAGUCGAACGGCAGCACAGUAAGAGCUUGCUCUUACGGGUGGCGAGUGGCGGACGGGUGAGGAAUACAUCGGAAUCUACUUUUUCGUGGGGGAUAACGUAGGGGAACUUACGCUAAUACCGCAUACGACCUACGGGUGAAAGCAGGGGAUCUUCGGACCUUGCGCGAUUGAAUGAGCCGAUGUCGGAUUAGCUAGUUGGCGGGGUAAGGGCCCACCAAGGCGACGAUCCGUAGCUGGUCUGAGAGGAUGAUCAGCCACACUGGAACUGAGACACGGUCCAGACUCCUACGGGAGGCAGCAGUGGGGAAUAUUGGACAAUGGGCGCAAGCCUGAUCCAGCCAUACCGCGUGGGUGAAGAAGGCCUUCGGGUUGUAAAGCCCUUUUGUUGGGAAAGAAAAGCAGCAGGUUAAUACCCCGCUGUUCUGACGGUACCCAAAGAAUAAGCACCGGCUAACUUCGUG